CCUACGGGCGGCAGCAGUGGGGAAUCUUCCGCAAUGGGCGAAAGCCUGACGGAGCAACGCCGCGUGAUCGAAUGAAGGCCUUCGGGUUGUAAAGCUCUGUUGACAGGGACGAAUAAGCAAUGCAAAUAGUUUUGUGUAUGACGGUACCUGUUUAGAAAGCUCCGGCUAAAAACGUGCCCGAAGCCGCGGUAAAACGUAGGGAGCCAGCGUUGACCGGAAUUAUUGGGCGUAAAGGGCGCGUGGGGGGGCGAUAAAGGCAGGAGUGAAAACUCCGGGGCCAACCCAGAGACUGCUUUUGAAACUGGUUGUCUUGAGUGCAGGAGGGGAGAGUGGAAUUCCGAGUGUAGCGGUGAAAUGCGUAGAUAUUAGGAGGAACACCAGUGGCGAAGGCGACUUUCUGGACUGUACCUGACGCUGAGGCGCGAAAGCGUGGGUAGCGAACGGGAUUAGAUACCCGUGUAGUC
RNAcentral lists this ribosomal RNA (464 nucleotides) under uncultured bacterium. RNAcentral's name for it is "partial 16S ribosomal RNA". It matches the Rfam family "Bacterial small subunit ribosomal RNA", at positions 338 to 795 of the family's 1533-position model. The record is from RNAcentral.